RNAcentral lists this non-coding RNA (76 nucleotides) under Lingulaulax polyedra. Lineage: Eukaryota; Dinophyceae; Gonyaulacales; Lingulodiniaceae. The record is from RNAcentral.
GAGGACCGGCUCAAGAGGAGGCAGGCAACGGAGCAGAGCAUCGCUACGGCCCUCGUGAAGCAGAUGGAGAGCAUGG